This 1614-nucleotide ribosomal RNA is filed under the name Triticum aestivum (bread wheat). RNAcentral describes it as "partial small subunit ribosomal RNA". Lineage: Eukaryota; Viridiplantae; Streptophyta; Magnoliopsida; Poales; Poaceae. The record is from RNAcentral.
AUGGCGUCCGGCCCUCCCGGGAAGCUGUCGAGCUUUGAGCCCUCUCUGUGGGGUGAUUUCUUCAUGAGUUACGAGCCACAACCACUACAGAGCGAGGAAUGGAUGAUGGAGAGAGCUGAUAUACUGAAAGAGAAAAUCCACAUGUUGUUUCGGAGUUGCGAUGGGGUGUUGGAGAAAAUGUUCUUAGUGGAUUCACUCCAACAUCUCGGAAUUGAUCACCACUUUAAAGAAGAGAUUGACAAUAUGUUGAGCGAAAUCCUUGGGAGUGAAUUUAGUUGCUCUAGUCUCCAUGAGGUCGCUCUUCGAUUUCGCUUGCUUAGGGAGCACGGUCAUUGGGUAUCUCCAGAUGUCUUCAACAAAUUCAAAUGUGAAAGCGGGGUCUUCAACAAGGAUAUUACUUAUGAUACAAGGGGAUUAUUAAGUUUAUACAAUGCAGCUCAUCUUCUCAUCCAUGGUGAACCAGCACUAGAAAAAGCCAUCACUUUUGCAAAGUACCAUCUUGAAUCAAGGAUUGCGAGUCUCGAGUUCCCCUUAGCCAAGCAAGUUAAACGUGCCCUUCACUUGCCACUGCCAAGGACUUAUAAGAGGAUGGAAGCAAUACAUUACAUCUCGGAGUACAAAGAAGAGGAAUAUCACAACCCUGCUCUAUUGGAGUUUGCAAAGCUAGACUUUAACCUUCUACAACAUGUACACUUGAAGGAGUUGAAAGCUAUUAGUGGGUGGUGGAAAGAACUUUCCAGAUGCAUCGAGCUGACCUAUGUUCGUGAUCGUGUGGUGGAGAACUAUCUUUGGUCCCAUGUGAUGUUCUAUGAGAAAGACUACGAGCUCGCACGGGUGAUCGGUGCCAAAAUAAAUGUGCUACUUACCAUCAUGGAUGACACAUUUGAUGCCCAUGCCACCAUAGAGGAAUGUCGGAAGCUGACUGAAGCCGUACAAAGAUGGGAUGAGAGCGAUGUUUCUCUUCUGCCGGAUUACUUGAAGAAGUUCUUUGAUGAACUGUUGGCAAACAUUAAGGAGUUUGGGAGUGAAAUGGCAAAGAAUAACAACUACGAGAUUGCCUACAUCAAGAAACAGUUCCAAAAACAGUUCAUUUAUUAUCUCCAAGAAGUCGAAUGGUUGCACCAGAAUCACAAGCCAAGCUUUGAAGAGCUAGUGAAUCUGACCUCCAUGACCAUAUGUGUACCAACAGUAUGUGUGUGUUUUCUUGUUGGCAUGGGCGAUGCAAUGCCCAAGGAAACACUCGAGUGGGUAGCUGGUUUCCCUGAUGUCGUCAUGGCAUGCGCAAAGCUUACAAGGUUCAUGAAUGACAUCGCUUCAUUUAAACGUGGAAGAAGCAAGGUAGACGCAACGAAUUCAGUAGAGUGGUACAUCGCGGAGCAUGGGGUCACGAGGGAGGUCGCAGUUGCCACGAUCGAGUCACUCAUAGAAGACGAAUGGAGAAGCCUAAAUCAAGCUCGCUUUGGGAACCGAGUGCUGCUCCCCGCAGUGCAGCGGGUUAUCAGAUUCGCUGUUAGUAUGCCGUUAUACUAUGGUGGAGGGAACGAUGCAUUCACAUUCAGCAAGCAUCUUCACAAGACUAUUGAGGCCCUCUUUGUCAACCCCAUUCCCAUCUAG